This 310-nucleotide unclassified non-coding RNA is filed under the name air metagenome. Its description in RNAcentral is "partial contains small subunit ribosomal RNA, internal transcribed spacer 1, and 5.8S ribosomal RNA". The stretch from base 1 to 46 matches the Rfam family "Eukaryotic small subunit ribosomal RNA", at positions 1786 to 1831 of the family's 1831-position model. The record is from RNAcentral.
AAGUCGUAACAAGGUUUCCGUAGGUGAACCUGCGGAAGGAUCAUUACAAGAGCAAAGGAUAGACAGCGCCCGCGGAGCUCGCUCCCGGGGCUACCCUACUCCAGUAGGGUUUAGAGUCGUCGGGCCUCUCGAAGAAGCUUCGGUCCUGAACUCCACCCUUGAAUAAAUUACCUUCGUUGCUUUGGCGGGCCGCCUCGUGCCAGCGGCUUCGGCUGUUGAGUGCCCGCCAGAGGACCACAACUCUUGCUUUUAGUGAUGUCUGAGUACUAUAUAAUAGUUAAAACUUUCAACAACGGAUCUCUUGGUUCUG